GUGCCAGCCGCCGCGGUAAUACGUAGGGGGCAAGCGUUGUCCGGAUUUAUUGGGCGUAAAACGCUCGUAGGUGGCCACGCCAAGUCGGACGUGAAAUCUCCUGGCUUAACUAGGAGGGGUCGCUCGAUACUGGCGGGCUCGAGGCAGGGAGGGGGAAGCGGAAUUCCCGGUGUAGUGGUGGAAUGCGUAGAUAUCGGGAGGAACACCAGUGGCGAAGGCGGCUUCCUGGCCCUGAUCUGACACUGAGGAGCGAAAGCGUGGGGAGCGAUCCGGAUUAGAUACCCUGGUAGUCC
RNAcentral lists this ribosomal RNA (293 nucleotides) under uncultured bacterium. RNAcentral describes it as "partial 16S ribosomal RNA". It matches the Rfam family "Bacterial small subunit ribosomal RNA", at positions 505 to 796 of the family's 1533-position model. The record is from RNAcentral.